UCUCAUUUUCAUUCUUGUGGUCUUAUGAGUUUGCAUGCAUCACAGGUACAUAUCUCAUGCUUCAUCUUUUCAAGGAAUCACAUGAGACACUUUUUCUUAUUUGAAACUCCUGGAGCUGGUAGACGAGUAACCAAUGGCUUUUGAGCUGUUGCCUCAAGGCUGCUAUGAAUUAAAAUGACACUGAAUCUUGAAAAGCUGUGGAUUGAUGUAUACUUAGCUGCAAAGUUUGAGUUUCCAUUCUGAGCUGAUAAAAAAUUUAGUGGCUGCAUCCUCCCUUCCCACACACACCCCAAAAGAAAAAGGGGGGGGGGUGGAUGAAUGUCGACCUCUGGUUUGUACACUACUAUUCUGAUGAGUGAGCGAUCAACUUUGAAUACCUCUUCUAUAGAACUUGAUGAUUUCUUCAGUGAGCAGAUGAUUAAGUUAAGAAAUCGGGGUCUGUUUUCAGAAUUUAUGCGACAUCCUUGCUGCUUUAUUCACCCCAAAAACUGCAUUUUUCUCAUGGGUGCUCCAACUAUUCCAAGUUCAUGCAUUGAGGAUAUUCAUCUUUUCAAGAAACUGCCAUUAAUUAGCUAGCUCUUCCAAAGAGUGAAAAACAAAUUAUGGAAGAAAGAAGUAAAAAUAGAAUUUUUUGUUUUCUGCUUUAACCUUUUAAUUACUACACAAUUCAAUUAAACCAUUUACCCAAUUAACUGGGUUGGUUGUAUGAUCUUGUUUCCUCUUUCCUUUAUGUUUUAGGCCAUAUGUUAAGUUACCUUGUAAGAACUUUGUAUUCUCUCUUUAAAGUCAUUUGGCCUUUCCCUUGUUGGUUUAAUCUUCAUUCAUGGGUCUUCAUUAUA
Macadamia integrifolia is the source of this 839-nucleotide long non-coding RNA. RefSeq lists it as uncharacterized. The transcript has 2 exons. NCBI's taxonomy places the organism in Eukaryota, Viridiplantae, Streptophyta, Magnoliopsida, Proteales, Proteaceae. The record is from RefSeq and is a predicted model, not a curated record.